RNAcentral lists this ribosomal RNA (253 nucleotides) under uncultured bacterium. RNAcentral describes it as "partial 16S ribosomal RNA". It matches the Rfam family "Bacterial small subunit ribosomal RNA", at positions 524 to 776 of the family's 1533-position model. The record is from RNAcentral.
UACGUAGGCAGCGAGCGUUGUUCGGAGUUACUGGGCGUAAAGGGUGUGUAGGCGGUUCUUUAAGUUUGGUGUGAAAUCUCCCGGCUCAACCGGGAGGGUGCGCCGAAUACUGAAGAGCUAGAGUGCGGGAGAGGAAAGUGGAAUUCCUGGUGUAGCGGUGAAAUGCGUAGAUAUCAGGAGGAACACCUGUGGUGUAGACGGCUUUCUGGACCGUGACUGACGCUGAGACACGAAAGCGUGGGUAGCAAACAGG